Molecule: ribosomal RNA, 424 nt
Filed under: uncultured bacterium
Lineage: Bacteria
Description: bacterial SSU rRNA
Rfam family: Bacterial small subunit ribosomal RNA
Source: RNAcentral
UAAGGAAUAUUGGUCAAUGGACGCAAGUCUGAACCAGCCAUGCCGCGUGGAGGAUGAAGGUCCUCUGGAUUGUAAACUUCUUUUUUCUGGGAAGAAAUGCAGGAAUUCUUUCUUGUUUGACGGUACUAGAAGAAUAAGCACCGGCUAACUCCGUGCCAGCAGCCGCGGUAAUACGGAGGGUGCAAGCGUUAUCCGGAUUCACUGGGUUUAAAGGGUGCGUAGGUGGGCUGGUAAGUCAGUGGUGAAAUCUCCGGGCUUAACCCGGAAACUGCCAUUGAUACUACUGGUCUUGAAUGUCGUGGAGGUGAGCGGAAUAUGUCAUGUAGCGGUGAAAUGCUUAGAUAUGACAUAGAACACCAAUUGCGAAGGCAGCUCACUACACGGAUAUUGACACUGAGGCACGAAAGCGUGGGGAUCAAACAGG